This is a long non-coding RNA of Xenia sp. Carnegie-2017, 770 nucleotides long. RefSeq lists it as uncharacterized. The record is from RefSeq and is a predicted model, not a curated record. The transcript has 2 exons. Lineage: Eukaryota; Metazoa; Cnidaria; Anthozoa; Malacalcyonacea; Xeniidae.
UUGUAUUUUUACCUGGAUCUUCUCACAAUAUAACUUGGAGAUUUGAAGUUACCUCAUCCAUAAUUGUACGUGUUUGAUCCUUUAUCCCUCGUGGUUCUACUGCUGCACAACGACUUGUAACGAUAACUGGUAAUGGUGAACCGCGAUAUGAUUCAUCACCUUUAACAUUUCAAGUUUUUGAACCUGAAACUCUGAUGUUAAAGAAUGUCGAUCAAACAGUGGUGUUUACACAUUUACUAUCGUAGCUAAUACUGUUGACACACAAAGAAAGUAAAUGUUUAUAUUGCCUACAGAAUACAAGAUGGAAAAGUUUGGCUUCCUUUCAUUUCUUUUGUUCUGUUGGAUUUCAUCUUGUCAAGGUAUUUAUUAGUUUAUUAGAUCAUUAAGGAAGUAAAUGGUUAUUUUUGUCAAAUAAAACUGUGGAAUUUGCUUAGAAAUUUAAGGUAUAUUGACUAAAAAAUUUACUUAAUUCUUCAUUAUGUGUACAAUGACCAUAACCAGUUCUGCAUUGAAUAAAAUAAUUUAAAAGCAAUACCUUGCAGUAUUUUAGAAGACGAAGAGUGUUUUUUACCUUCCAAAUACAUGCAUGUAAUGGUUAUUUAGCAAAUAAGUAAGAAUAUCUCAUUCAUGAUUCGACAACAGAAUCUUUUGUGGUAAAAAGUGAUAACACUUGUUCUUGUGCAAUAAUAUCAAAUGUGUUUCAUCAUUAUAAAAUAUGUUGCUCUAUGUGGCUGAAGUGCAAAUCUAAAUUAUAAAUUAUUGAAUAUUUA